GCGGGAGCUGCGCCCUCAGGACGCUGGCGGAAGGCCUCCAAUCUGCCCGUCUUGAAACACGGACCAAGGAGUAUAACAUGCAUGCGAGCCGGUGGGCGGAAAACCCACGAGGCGCAAGUAACCUGACUGGUGGGAUGGCCCGUGCCUGCACCAUCAACCGACCGCGAUCUUCUGUGACUGGUUUGAGUGCGAGCAUGUUUGUUGUGACCCGAAAGAUGGUGAACUAUGCCUGAGCAGGGCGAAGCCAGAGGAAACUCUGGUGGAGGCUCGUAGAUGUGCUGACGUGCAAAUCGCUUUUCGGAUUUGGGUAUAGGGGCGAAAGACUAAUCGAACCAUCUAGUAGCUGGUUCCCUCCGAAGUUUCCCCCAGGAUAGCUGGAGCUCGGUCAGUUUUAUCAGGUAAAGCGAAUGAUUAGAGGUUCGGGGGGCUCAAAGCCCUUCACCUAUUCUCAAACUUUAAAUAGGUAAGACGUCCGGGGCGCUUGGCUGGCCCCGGGCAUUCAAUGAGAGCUCCAAGUGGGCCAUUUUUGGUAAGCAGAACUGGCGAUGCGGGGAUGAACCGAAAGCU
Molecule: ribosomal RNA, 567 nt
Filed under: Elliptochloris bilobata
Lineage: Eukaryota; Viridiplantae; Chlorophyta; Trebouxiophyceae
Description: eukaryotic LSU rRNA
Rfam family: Eukaryotic large subunit ribosomal RNA
Source: RNAcentral